RNAcentral lists this ribosomal RNA (440 nucleotides) under uncultured bacterium. Its description in RNAcentral is "partial 16S ribosomal RNA". It matches the Rfam family "Bacterial small subunit ribosomal RNA", at positions 338 to 795 of the family's 1533-position model. The record is from RNAcentral.
CCUACGGGCGGCAGCAGUGGGGGAUAUUGCACAAUGGUGGAAACACUGAUGCAGCGACGCCGCGUGAGUGAAGAAGUAUUUCGGUAUGUAAAGCUCUAUCAGCAGGGAAGAAAAUGACAGUACCUGACCAAGAAGCCCCGUCUAACUACGUGCCAGCAGCCGCGGUAAUACGUCGGGGGCAAUCGUUAUCCGGAUUUACUGGAGGUAAAGGGAGCGUAGACGGUUAUGUAAGUCUGGAGUGAAAGCCCGGGGCCCAACCCCGGGACUGCUGUGGAAACUGUGUAACUGGAGUACAGGAGGGGCAGGCGGAAUGCGUGGGGUAGCGGUGAAAUGCGUAGAUAUCAGGAGGAACCCCGGCGGCGAAGGCGGCCUGCUGGACUGAAACUGACGUUGAGGCUCGAAAGCGUGGGGAGCAAACAGGAUUAGAUACCCGUGUAGUC